AUCCAGGUCUUCCAGUCAAUCAGUGUCUUCCAGAAAGAAAUCCAGGUCUUCCAGUCAGUGUCUUCCAGAAAAAUCUAUGUCUUCCACCAAAUCCAGGUCUUCCAGUCAAUCCACAUCUUCCGGAAAAAAUCCAGGUCUUCCAGCCAAUAUAUGUCUUCCUGAAGAUCCAUGUCUUCCAGAAAAUCCAUGUCUUCCAGAAAAUCCACGUCUUCCAGUAACCUCCCAGUCUUCCAGAAAAUCCACGUCUUCCCAACAAUCCAGGUCUUCCGGAUAAUUUGGGUCUUCCUGAAAAUCUACGUCUUCCAAAAAAGCCAUGUCUUCCAGAAAAUCCACAUCUUCCAAUGGCCUCCAGGUCUUCCAGACUAUCCAUGUCUUCCAGAAAAUCCUUGUCUUCCCUCAAAUCUAUAGCUUCCAAAAAAUCCGGGUCUUCCAGGAAAUCCGUGUCUUCCAGCAAGUCCACGUCUUCCAACAAAGCCAUGUCUUCCAGACUAUCCACGUCUUCCAGAAAAUCCUUGUCUUCCCUCAAAUCCAUAGCUUCCGAAAAAUCCAGGUCUUCCAGGAAAUCCGUGUCUUCCAGCAAAUCCACGUCUUCCAACAAAGCCAUGUCUUCCAUCAAAUUAAUGUCUUCCAGCCUACUUGUGUCUUCCAACAAAGGUGUGUCUUCCAACAAAGGUACGUCUUCCAACAAAGGUACGUCUUCCAACAAAGGUACGUCUUCCAGAAAAUCCAUGUCUUCCAACCAAGCCAUGUCUUCCAGAAAAUCCACGUCUUCCAGAAAAUAUAUGUCUUCCAACUAAGCUACGUCUUCCAACAAAUCCAUGUCUUCCUAUAUCUCCAGGUCUUCCAGCAUCUCCAGGGCUUCCAGCAUCUGCUCGUCUUCCAACAUCUCCACGUCUUCCAGCAUCUCUACGUCUUCCAGCAUCUUCAUGUCUUCCAACAACUACCCAGUCUUCCAUCAACUGGCUCAAUAUCCAUGUCUUCCAACGUCUCCAGUGUGCUGAUCUUCUGACAUUCAGGUCUUCCAGUGUCUGCAAUAUCCAGAUGAGGAAACUGGCACACAGAGGUGAAGUGAAUUUUGUCCACAGGACACAACUACUAAAUAAUGGAGCCAGAUUUAAACCCGGCUAGCCUGUUGUGAGAGUCCAUGAUUGUAACCACUAUGCUAUAAUAUCUGCUGUUUAAAAUCAUGAUAGAAUGAUGUGAUCCAAAGGUUGAUUGCUUCCACAUUUUGUGUACAAUAUUAUACAAUCCCGUAUACAAAUGGUCUCGCUUGAUCCUGUCACUGCCAGAGUCUGUUUGUAUGCACAGCUUUUAUUCCCCAACCAGCUACUGCCAUUCCCUUGGACCUGUAUAUGGAAGUAGGUGCAAACACUUUCUGAUACCAUUUUCAGUUUUGGCAGGAAGAAUAUAAGGAAGCACUGAGUUCAAUUACCCUUUGCUUCAGAAUCAUAUUCAUAGCUCCAUGCUUUGAGUACUGGUGCUUGGAAUUUAACUCUUCUAUCUAUUUGAAUCCCCUUUUACUGACUUUUGUCCAGUUUGCACCUUACUAUGUGGAGCACUUACCAUUAGUUUGUUUCUAAACUCCAGCAUCUACCUGCUUCAAAUAUCGCAACCUCCUGGGUUCCUGGCCACUGCCUUGUAUCCGACUAAUGGUAGCUGCAACUCCUUAAAUCCCAGCAUGCUGAUCUGGAGAACCAAGUAGUUGGUUCUCUAAGUCUCAGCUCCCACCAGGUGCCUUCAGCAAUGUUGCUACCCAUGCUUCUGGCUGGCAUGAAAAGCAUGAAAACCACAUAAUUAAAUUUUUACAGUUAGGCAGGGACUCUCUAAAGAUUUAAAAUCCUCUAUAUGAUAACAAAAAGGAACAAUGAUAAUGCCAAUUAAAAUAGAAAUACCUUCUGAAUGUCUAAUGAUUUAUACUUUACAAAGUGCUGUCACCUCAUUCAUUCAUUCAUUCAUUCAACAAAUAUUUAUUGAGCGCUAACUGUAUGCCAGGCAUGUUUUGAUAAAGCUUAAAAUCAUCUGUGGGAAACAACAUACAGAUGAUAAUUGGAAAAUUAUUUAUCAAUUGUUAAGGCCAUGAAGAAAAAGUAACUGAGAGUCUGGAAAAUCAAGGAAAGCAUUCCUAAAGAAGUAAUAUUUAUUGUGACUCUGAAGAAUCUAUAUUCUCAUUUGGUUCUCACAAUAUAGCCUUGUGACUUAAAUAAAACAGAUUUUUUGUGUAUCAGUUUUACUAAUCUGAGUGCUAACAAUAGCCAUGGGACCCAGCUGUUUUGACCUCUUUAUUUUCCCUGCUACUCAUUUUGCCUUAAAAUAUAUAUGAAGUACUAUUUGAAAAUUUAUAUCAAGGGAUAUAAAAAUGUACUUUUUGGUUUAGUAUAUUCCACUUCAAGGAAUCUGUCCAAGGAAAUUAUCUAAAAUGUGGAUAACUCACACACAAAGAUACUCCUCACAUAGUUAUUUGGUAUAGUGAAAAACAGAAAAACCUUAGUCUAACAUUCAGGGAAUGAUUAAGUAAAUGUGCCAUGUACCUAUGAUGGAAUAUUCUUCCAUUAAAAUGCUAUGGCAUAUUCAUUUUAUAAGUUAAGUGAAAAAUCAGCAUACAAGGUUACAUAAAGUGUGAUGGCAACUAUUUUAAAAUAUAUAAUCAGUGACAAAUGACUAGAAGUAAAUGUAUUGGGGACUGUAAACUAAUUAUUACUGGAUGGGUUGGAUUAUGUAUGAUUUUAUUUUCUUCUAUAUAUUCUUUUAUUUUUAAGUUCUUACAAUGUACAGGUAUUUUCUAUUCAGGAAAAAUAUUUAAACAAUUGUGCACAAAACUAUUCAUCUUUUUUCUUGUACAUGGAAUCAAGUUUUACUGUUGGAAACACUUCAAAAUAUAUGUUAGCAAAGUGAAAAAAACAAAUUCUCAAAUAAUUUCAGUAUCUAGAGAUAAUCACUGUAAGGAUUUUCGUGUAUGCUCUUGUAGACACUUUUACUAGCAUAUUUUCUUGUACAAAAUGUAAUCAUACUGCAAUUUAACCUAUUUCUUUCUUACACUUAAUAAAUUGUGAACAACUUUCUAUGUCAGUAACUGUGCAGCUAUGUAAUAAUUUUAAUAUAUAAUUUACUUACUCCAUCUCCUAUUGGUGAGCAUUAAGUUCCUUCCAAUUUUCUUGUAUUAUAAAAACUUCUGUGAUCAGCACAUACUUUAUGUAAGGUGUGAAGAACACAAACUGUGUCAUUCUACCUGGUGUUCCUGUACAUAUUUGUGUGCAGAUGUGUUUGGGUAUUACUUAGGAUAAAUUUCUAAAAGGAGAGUUGCUGAGCCAAACAAGACCAUGUGCAUCAUAAUGUUUAUCACAGCAAAAAAAUUACAAGCAAUCAUGUGUCUAACAGUUGGGGUGGUUAGAAAAUUAUAUUGUAACUAUCUAAUGGAAUACUGUGCGGUCAUUUAAAUUUAUACCAUGGAAGAAUAUUUACCAAAAUGGGAAUAUGUUCAUAAGGUAUCAUCAGUGAGAGAAAUAGGUCACAAAAAAUAUGUAUAAUGUUCAUGUUUCAUAGAAGGAAAACUAAAUACUUUCAGGAAAAUAACUAGAAGAUAUACACUAAAAUGUUAGUAGUAAAAGUCCCAAAAAGAAAAUGGAUAAAUCAUGGUAUAUUUCAUGUAAAAUAUUAUAUAGUCAUUAUAUGAAUGUUCUACAGCUACACAUAACAAUAUGGGUAGAUUUUACUUCUAGAAUAUUAAGAUAUCAAGUCUCAAAAGACUACAUAUAGUAGGAUAUCCUUUUUAUAUUAUUCAAAAACAGGUAAAACUAAGCACUAUAUUAUUUAGGGCUACAUACACAUACCAUACAAAUAAUUUAUUAAAAAGCAAAAAAAAUUUAAAAUUGAAGAUGAUGGUCACUGGGGUUGAGGAAAGAGGGUCAGAAUAUGGGAGGACAAUGUACAUGAAUUCAUAUUAUGGUUAACAUUCUAGUACUCGUGUGUUGGGUAGUGGUUGGUGUCAUUAUGUAAUUGAAAUCCCAUUAUUGAUUAUUUAAUACUUUUAUGAUUAUUAUUAACAUUAAAUAAAAAGGCAAGUUAAUGAGUAAAAAUAAAAGAGGGCCUUGCAUGAAUCAAUGAGACACUGUGCACAAUCUAAGGAUUAUUAAUCCCUUUCUGUACAUUUGUCUUUCAUUAUUUUUUAAAGUAAUUUAUCUGUGGGUAGUAAGACUACAUGGG
This 4200-nucleotide long non-coding RNA is filed under the name Pan troglodytes (chimpanzee). RNAcentral's name for it is "long non-coding RNA NONPTRT018372". The record is from RNAcentral. Lineage: Eukaryota; Metazoa; Chordata; Mammalia; Primates; Hominidae.